AAGAAACAUUUUGUACUGAAUUAUGUGAAGUCAUAUUUUGAGUCGAUAUCACGCUGAAAAAGUUAAAAAUUUGAGUUUUUUAGAUGUUAAGUAUCGAAACUUGAUGUUUGAAUAUCGUUACUGAGAAGUACAUCAGAAGUUCUUUAGAAACCGAAGCUGUGAAAAUCAGGUUUUUGUAUUGAGUACAGGUACACGAUUUUGAAGCAUAGGUGCUGAAAUUCUUGUGCGUUUCAGUACUGGUACUCAAAUUUGAAUGCCGG
RNAcentral lists this long non-coding RNA (260 nucleotides) under Ananas comosus (pineapple). RNAcentral describes it as "long non-coding RNA (ACOM_LNC025574)". Lineage: Eukaryota; Viridiplantae; Streptophyta; Magnoliopsida; Poales; Bromeliaceae. The record is from RNAcentral.